This 864-nucleotide long non-coding RNA is filed under the name Coturnix japonica (Japanese quail). RNAcentral's name for it is "lncRNA (ENSCJPG00005020612.1)". The record is from RNAcentral. Lineage: Eukaryota; Metazoa; Chordata; Aves; Galliformes; Phasianidae.
AGAACUGCAAGGGGCAACAUGUUUUUGUCCUCUCAUUGGGACAGGGCUGCAGACUGCAGCUGUAGAUGAGCCUUUAAACAUCAGAGCAGCACAGCUGACGACUGCAGAGCAAAGCACUUUCUGCAGGCUGGGUUACAGCUUCCUUGUGCCUUCUAUGCCAGGGCAUACAAUGGAUUCUCAGCUCUGGUUUCAUGCAGAAUUGCUGAAUUAUGCUUUGGGUGUCCAACCUCUACCACUAUUCUACCACUGGCGUCUGCCUUUGCUCCGAGUCUACCAAUUAUUUCCUUUAAGUGUCAGCAGCACACCAGGCACACAGAGAUAUAACCUUACUUCAAGUUGAUGCUGUUAAACUAUCGCUUGAAACUGUAGUCGCAGUUGACAAGUGCUACUUCAGUCACUAAUAACAACUUCAGAAGUGCUAGUGGUGUCUUGGUUCUUAAUGCUGUGGCUCAGAGCUCUGGGAACGUCUUUCCAGGUCAUUUAGAGCCAUCCAUCUGAUCUGAAACAAGAGCAGUCAGUCUCUUCACAGGCUCUGCUCCUUGCUGGCUGCAAGGUCCUCUGUUCAUCCCCUCAAGGCUGCAGCAGUGGCACAUCCAGGCAGCUGUCUGCCUUCUGGAAGAGCUCCAUUUACCUGCAAUGAUGUCAGUGUUUGCAUCAAGGAAAAGGUUGAACCCUCUCCUGAGAAAGUCUGUCUGUACAGAAGGAGCAAGACAAGCACUCGGACACAAGUCCCAGCUUUGCAGCUGCAGAAUGCCAACAACACCACCUGGAAAUCCAUCUCAGAUGCCACUUCUUCUUCAAGCAGAUCUUCCCACCUGUCUCAAGCCAGAUGUUUUGAACAGUCAUGGAACUACCUGCAAAUAA